This is a transfer RNA of Camelus ferus (Wild Bactrian camel), 72 nucleotides long. It matches the Rfam family "tRNA". From Rfam's summary of the family: Transfer RNA (tRNA) molecules are approximately 80 nucleotides in length. NCBI's taxonomy places the organism in Eukaryota, Metazoa, Chordata, Mammalia, Artiodactyla, Camelidae. The record is from Rfam.
GAAGGUACAGCUCAGUGGUAGAGCGUGUGUUUAGCUUGCUCAAGGUCCUGGGUUCAAUCCCCAGUACCUCCA